AGCAGAGACCUAUUGUCUCUCUCCUUUCUGAGUAGAAGAUGUUUGAAGUGGAAGGAUCUUCAGCAACUUCUUCACAAGAAUCAAAGGCUGCAACACUGAUGGAGAAGCUGAGAGUCUGUAGUCAGGAUGGUGGAGCUGAGCCUGGAACUUCAGUUUCGCAUUCCAAGUUUCAUGCCUUUUGCGCUAGUCCAAGAAUCUUCGCUGGAGAAUCACAAAUGUGGAGGGGUUCUGCUUUCACCCUGCCAGCAGAAACUGCUUCAUGGGAAGACAUAAGCAAGCACCCACUCCUCCCUCUGUCGGUGCCUCCAGGAAGCAGCCCUGGCGGGGUUUGUGUGGAUCUGCAGGUGCCUGCUGCACACCGUGCAUCUGUAGCACA
Fukomys damarensis (Damara mole-rat) is the source of this 376-nucleotide long non-coding RNA. RefSeq lists it as uncharacterized. NCBI's taxonomy places the organism in Eukaryota, Metazoa, Chordata, Mammalia, Rodentia, Bathyergidae. The record is from RefSeq and is a predicted model, not a curated record. The transcript has 2 exons.